RNAcentral lists this ribosomal RNA (254 nucleotides) under uncultured bacterium. Its description in RNAcentral is "partial 16S ribosomal RNA". It matches the Rfam family "Bacterial small subunit ribosomal RNA", at positions 524 to 776 of the family's 1533-position model. The record is from RNAcentral.
UACGAAGGGAGCUAGCGUUGUUCGGAAUUACUGGGCGUAAAGGGUGCGUAGGCGGUUAUGUAAGUCAGAUGUGAAAUCCUUGGGCUUAACCUGAGAAUUGCAUUUGAUACUGCAUUGACUAGAGAUCGAGAGGGGAAAGUGGAAUUACGAGUGUAGAGGUGAAAUUCGUAGAUAUUCGUAAGAACACCAGUGGCGAAGGCGACUUUCUGGCUCGAUACUGACGCUGAAGCACGAAAGCGUGGGGAGCAAACAGG